Long non-coding RNA from Salvelinus fontinalis (brook trout), 2096 nucleotides. RefSeq lists it as uncharacterized. Lineage: Eukaryota; Metazoa; Chordata; Actinopteri; Salmoniformes; Salmonidae. The transcript is spliced from 2 exons. The record is from RefSeq and is a predicted model, not a curated record.
CGCAUGAUUUGAUAUUGUCCAGACAUAUUUGUAUAAAGAGGCUGUAGUUAGAUUUAUACUGAAAAAUGGACCCAUAGAAGUUUACCAUGACAAACAAUCUCUCCUAGAACUACCCUGUUCUAUAAAGUGUUAAAAUAUAAUCUUUGUUGUUUAAUGUAACAGUAAUGACACUUUACAACUUGUGUUGGUAAUUUGCAUUUCUCAUGUUUUUGUUUUACAUGUAUUCAUUUGUUAUGGACCCAAAUGCCUCCAGAUCAGCUCUCCCCCAUUCUCCAGGCAGGGAGAGUGGGGCUUGACCGCCAUUACAGAGAGUAAACAACUUGUCAUCUAACCUGUGACACAGAUCCUGCUGGUCGGCUGGAAGGAGAAAAGGAAAGGAGACCCCCAGGUCUGGGAGGUGGAAGGAGAGGUCAAACAGUAGCCCUCUUGUCCUGCAGCCUGUGAGGCCCACUGUGCAACAGGUCCAACAUCAGUCUUGAGUAUAUAUUGCCAUGGAGCUGUCGCUUAAUGAUAGAAGAAGGUUGCAGGGCUAAAGUGUGCUGCAACGCCAGUGAGAGCGAUGGGCCUCUCAUUGAUUCAGCCAUGCCAUACCCCCCAGUCAGGAGACACUCUGAUCUGAACACCUUGGACUAUCUGCUGCUCUGCUCCACUAUGGAGAUUUACCACAACACAGUGCCUUCAAGAGCUGAGGGGAGUUGGAUGGAGGGGUUUACUGGGUUUACUGCGUGUGUGCGUGUACUGUAAGUGUGUGGUUGUGUGUAGAGGGAAUGAAUGCAUGAGGAGGCUACGUAUGCAAUAGUGUUUUAAUGUGCCUCUAAUCUAUUAUCAUCUACUGUUGCUGUUGUGUCAAAUCUUGAAUGAAGAAGAACAGUCGAAGAUAACAGAGUGAUGUGGUGUUGCAUCGACAUCUAUGGAGUUUGCACUGCAAGGUUACCAUGUACAUUCCUGUGAAUAUUGACUUUGUACCAUCACCUUCUUUGUGAUUUACUGUACCAAUGCAUUUACCAUAUCCAUUAAUUUAAUGUCCUUACUGUAUGUGUCCUCAUGUACUAUGAAAUGUGUUAUGAAUUACUUUCCGACUAAUUUGUGUAUGAAGUAUGUUGCAUAUCCACGUGUCAAUGUGAAUGAUAACUGUUCAAGUUCAGGCUAAGUAGUUUUGAGUUGUUUCCCAUAGUGACAUUAAGUGCUGAGUGGGAAUGUACUGUAUCAUUCAUCUGUCCCUACUGUAAGUAGCCAGAUACACAGGUAGACUGUGUAACAAAACAUUCCUUAUUAGGUCAAAAGUUGACCCCAAAGCAAAGGCAACAAUCCCCCAAUGACAGAUACGCCUAAUUGGGGCACUAUUGUGAGACCAGUCACUGAUCGAGACAGGAAUAUAUGGGGGUUCCACAGACAGCAUUCAUCUUCCCUUUCCCAUUGCACCCUUCAUUUUGAGGGCAUACUGUAGGCUUCUAGUUUAUCAACACCAUUGAAUGCUGUGUUUACUGUGUGAUACCCAUGAAUUAUUCAGCAUCACUAUGCCAUUUAAAACAGUACAGCAGGUUGAACAUCUUGUGCUCCCUGAUUACCAGGGUUUGGGUCAAUUCCCUUUCACUUCCAGUCAAUUCAGAAAGUCAACCAAAUUCCAAUUCCAAAUGUUCCUAAUUGAAAAGUGUUGAAUAGAAUUGGAAUUUCAGUGUACUACUUCCUGAAUUGACUGGAAUUUAAAUGGAACUGACCCCAACCACUCUUUUUACCACAAGCCAGGUCAGAACAGUGAGUAACUCAACUACUCAGCCAUUUAAGAAAAACACAAACAUGCAGAGCAUACAACUCCAUGUAAACUGUAAGCUUCAUUGGGAAUUGAGAAGGUCACCUUAUCAUGGAUCAAAUGUGACCAGAUACUGUGUGGUAUUCGCAUUUUCUAGUAGUUAGUGAUGUUUUCUUGUGUAUGUGAAUCAGCUGUCAUAAGGCCUUGCCUUUGUCCCCUGAUAGGGGCUCUGAAUAGGGACAAAAAGCACAUUGGAGACAUGGCUUAUCAAUGCAAGACUGAAAAUGGAAUUGUGCACGGAAUUUAAAUUGAGCUGUUUUUUUUUAACAAAUAAAAGUUUGAAAAU